This 537-nucleotide ribosomal RNA is filed under the name uncultured archaeon. Its description in RNAcentral is "bacterial SSU rRNA". It matches the Rfam family "Archaeal small subunit ribosomal RNA", at positions 444 to 997 of the family's 1478-position model. The record is from RNAcentral.
GGGAACGACCGGACGGCCCGGACGUCGGUGGAGUCGUGAUUAUUGGGUCUAAGGGUCCGGUAGCCGGUUGGUCAGUCCUCCGGGAAAUCUGAUAGCUCAACUAUUAGGCUUUCGGGGGAGUACUGCCAGACUUGGAACCGGGAGAGGUAAGAGGUACUACAGGGGUAGGAGUGAAAUCUUGUAAUCCCUGUGGGACCACCUGUGGCGAAGGCGUCUUACCAGAACGGGUUCGACGGUGAGGGACGAAAGCUGGGGGCACGAACCGGAUUAGAUACCCGGGUAGUCCCAGCCGUAAACGAUGCUCGCUAGGUGUCAGGCAUGGCGCGACCGUGUCUGGUGCCGCAGGGAAGCCGUGAAGCGAGCCACCUGGGAAGUACGGCCGCAAGGCUGAAACUUAAAGGAAUUGGCGGGGGAGCACAACAACGGGUGGAGCCCUGCGGUUUAAUUGGACUCAACGCCGGACAACUCACCGGGGGCGACAGCAAUAUGUAGGCCAAGCUGAAGACUUUGCCUGAAUCGCUGAGAAGUGGUGCAUGG